Molecule: unclassified non-coding RNA, 208 nt
Filed under: Hevea brasiliensis (rubber tree)
Lineage: Eukaryota; Viridiplantae; Streptophyta; Magnoliopsida; Malpighiales; Euphorbiaceae
Source: RNAcentral
AGUCCUUGCUCGCUACUUCCCUCCCAACAUCUUAGUUUUGCCCCUCCCUUUCGUAUCUCCUACCACUUCAAUAUGAAAAAUAUUCAAUCAAAGAAAAAAUCAUACCUGGCCACAUGAAUUUGGACCAAUGCUGCAAAGGCUAUGAAAUCCGUAAUCAUUCAGCAUAGAAAACAGACCACCAAACACAAUUUUUAAACUAAAAUCUCUU